GACGAACGCUGGCGGCGUGCUUAACACAUGCAAGUCGAACGGAAAGGCCCUGCUUGCAGGGUACUCGAGUGGCGAACGGGUGAGUAACACGUGGGUGAUCUGCCCUUCACUUCGGGAUAAGCCUGGGAAACUGGGUCUAAUACCGGAUAGGAGCCAUUUUUAGUGUGAUGGUUGGAAAGUUUUUUCGGUGUAGGAUGAGCUCGCGGCCUAUCAGCUUGUUGGUGGGGUAAUGGCCUACCAAGGCGGCGACGGGUAGCCGGCCUGAGAGGGUGGACGGCCACAUUGGGACUGAGAGACGGCCCAGAUUGCGACGGGAGGCAGCAGGGGGGAAUAUUGCACAAGGGGCGCAAGCCUGAUGCAGCGAGGCCGCGUGGGGGAUGACGGCCUUCGGGUUGUAAACUCCUUUCGCUAGGGACGAAGCUUUUUGUGACGGUACCUAGAUAAGAAGCACCGGCUAACUACGUG
RNAcentral lists this ribosomal RNA (465 nucleotides) under uncultured bacterium. RNAcentral's name for it is "partial 16S ribosomal RNA". It matches the Rfam family "Bacterial small subunit ribosomal RNA", at positions 28 to 507 of the family's 1533-position model. The record is from RNAcentral.